Molecule: ribosomal RNA, 97 nt
Filed under: Phytomonas sp. Lima
Lineage: Eukaryota; Euglenozoa; Kinetoplastea; Trypanosomatida; Trypanosomatidae
Source: RNAcentral
CCGUCCGAUUUGUGAAGUUAAGCAGCCACAGGCUUAGUUAGUACUGAGGUCAGUGAUGACUCGGGAACCCUAAGUGCCGUACCCUCAUAAGAUAUCC